RNAcentral lists this ribosomal RNA (622 nucleotides) under Agromyces sp. So3Pw_2832. RNAcentral describes it as "bacterial SSU rRNA". It matches the Rfam family "Bacterial small subunit ribosomal RNA", at positions 391 to 1018 of the family's 1533-position model. The record is from RNAcentral. Lineage: Bacteria; Bacillati; Actinomycetota; Actinomycetes; Micrococcales; Microbacteriaceae.
GCAACGCCGCGUGAGGGAUGACGGCCUUCGGGUUGUAAACCUCUUUUAGUAGGGAAGAAGGGCUUCGGCUUGACGGUACCUGCAGAAAAAGCACCGGCUAACUACGUGCCAGCAGCCGCGGUAAUACGUAGGGUGCGAGCGUUGUCCGGAAUUAUUGGGCGUAAAGAGCUCGUAGGCGGUUUGUCACGUCUGCUGUGAAAUCCCGAGGCUCAACCUCGGGCCUGCAGUGGGUACGGGCAGACUGGAGUGCGGUAGGGGAGAAUGGAAUUCCUGGUGUAGCGGUGGAAUGCGCAGAUAUCAGGAGGAACACCGAUGGCGAAGGCAGUUCUCUGGGCCGUAACUGACGCUGAGGAGCGAAAGCGUGGGGAGCGAACAGGAUUAGAUACCCUGGUAGUCCACGCCGUAAACGUUGGGCGCUAGAUGUGGGGACCUUUCCACGGUUUCCGUGUCGUAGCUAACGCAUUAAGCGCCCCGCCUGGGGAGUACGGCCGCAAGGCUAAAACUCAAAGGAAUUGACGGGGGCCCGCACAAGCGGCGGAGCAUGCGGAUUAAUUCGAUGCAACGCGAAGAACCUUACCAAGGCUUGACAUAACCGAGAACGCCGCAGAAAUGUGGAACUCUU